RNAcentral lists this ribosomal RNA (253 nucleotides) under uncultured bacterium. RNAcentral describes it as "partial 16S ribosomal RNA". It matches the Rfam family "Bacterial small subunit ribosomal RNA", at positions 524 to 776 of the family's 1533-position model. The record is from RNAcentral.
UACAGAGGGUGCGAGCGUUGUCCGGAAUCACUGGGCGUAAAGGGCGCGUAGGUGGCGCGACAAGUCAGUGGUGAAAGUUCGACGCUCAACGUCGAAUCGGCCACUGAUACUGUUGGGCUUGAGCACUGUAGAGGCUAAUGGAAUUCCGGGUGUAGCGGUGGAAUGCGUAGAGAUGUGGAGGAACACCAGUGGCGAAGGCGACUUUCUGGCUUAUAACUGACGCUGAGGCGCGAAAGCGUGGGGAGCAAACAGG